GCGGUCUUACUCAAGUGGUUCACGAGGGCUGUUUUGAAAACAGCUAGGCGUUGACAACAACGCGCGUGGGUUCAAAUCCCACAGGCCGCG
This 90-nucleotide transfer RNA is filed under the name Caudoviricetes sp. RNAcentral describes it as "tRNA-Ser". It matches the Rfam family "tRNA". From Rfam's summary of the family: Transfer RNA (tRNA) molecules are approximately 80 nucleotides in length. Their secondary structure includes four short double-helical elements and three loops (D, anti-codon, and T loops). Further hydrogen bonds mediate the characteristic L-shaped molecular structure. tRNAs have two regions of fundamental functional importance: the anti-codon, which is responsible for specific mRNA codon recognition, and the 3' end, to which the tRNAs corresponding amino acid is attached (by aminoacyl-tRNA synthetases). tRNAs cope with the degeneracy of the genetic code in two manners: having more than one tRNA (with a specific anti-codon) for a particular amino acid; and 'wobble' base-pairing, i.e. permitting non-standard base-pairing at the 3rd anti-codon position. Lineage: Duplodnaviria; Heunggongvirae; Uroviricota; Caudoviricetes. The record is from RNAcentral.